AGGACGAACGCUGGCGGCGUGCCUAAUACAUGCAAGUCGAACGCACCCUUCGGGGUGAGUGGCGCACGGCUGAGUAACACGUGGGAAUCUGUCUUCUAGUGGGGGAUAACGUCUCGAAAGAGACGCUAAUCCCGCAUACGCUCCGCAAGGAGGAAAGGCGCAAGUCGCUAGAAGAGGAGCCUGCGGCCCAUCAGGUAGUUGGAGAGGUAAUGGCUCGCCAAGCCUAUGACGGGUAGCUGGUCUGUGAGGACAACCAGCCAGACUGGGACUGAGAACGGCCCAGACUCCUACGGGAGGCAGCAGUGGGGAAUUUUGGACAAUGGACGCAAGUCUGAUCCAGCCAUUCCGCGUGCAGGAUGAAGGCCUUCGGGUUGUAAACUGCUUUUGUACGGAACGAAAAGACUCUGGUUAAUACCUGGGGUCCAUGACGGUACCGUAAGAAUAAGCACCGGCUAACUACGUG
RNAcentral lists this ribosomal RNA (463 nucleotides) under uncultured bacterium. Its description in RNAcentral is "bacterial SSU rRNA". It matches the Rfam family "Bacterial small subunit ribosomal RNA", at positions 26 to 507 of the family's 1533-position model. The record is from RNAcentral.